Molecule: ribosomal RNA, 228 nt
Filed under: Triticum aestivum (bread wheat)
Lineage: Eukaryota; Viridiplantae; Streptophyta; Magnoliopsida; Poales; Poaceae
Description: partial small subunit ribosomal RNA
Source: RNAcentral
ACUGCAGAAAAAAGAACUGCAAAAUCCGAUCCAAUUUUUCGUAAUCGAUUAGUUAACAUGGUGGUUAACCGUAUUAUGAAAGAUAAAAAAAACCAUUGGCUUAUCAAAUUCUCUAUCGAGCCAUGAAAAAGAUUCAACAAAAGACAGAAACAAAAAUUUGCUAGUCCCUUAAUUAUGGACUGCGUUAGCUGGCGAAUGUUCGCCAGGAGUGGUGGCAUUUCCGAAUGA